AGUGAACGCUGGCGGUAGGCCUAACACAUGCCAGUCGAACGGCAGCACAGUAAGAGCUUGCUCUUACGGGUGGCGAGUGGCGGACGGGUGAGGAAUACAUCGGAAUCUACUUUUUCGUGGGGGAUAACGUAGGGAAACUUACGCUAAUACCGCAUACGACGUACGGGUGAAAGCAGGGGAUCUUCGGACCUUGCGCGAUUGAAUGAGCCGAUGUCGGAUUAGCUAGUUGGCGGGGUAAAGGCCCACCAAGGCGACGAUCCGUAGCUGGUCUGAGAGGAUGAUCAGCCACACUGGAACUGAGACACGGUCCAGACUCCUACGGGAGGCAGCAGUGGGGAAUAUUGGACAAUGGGCGCAAGCCUGAUCCAGCCAUACCGCGUGGGUGAAGAAGGCCUUCGGGUUGUAAAGCCCUUUUGUUGGGAAAGAAAAGCAGCAGGUUAAUACCCCGCUGUUCUGACGGUACCCAAAGAAUAAGCACCGGCUAACUUCGUG
This 492-nucleotide ribosomal RNA is filed under the name uncultured bacterium. Its description in RNAcentral is "partial 16S ribosomal RNA". It matches the Rfam family "Bacterial small subunit ribosomal RNA", at positions 29 to 507 of the family's 1533-position model. The record is from RNAcentral.